This is a small nucleolar RNA of Lepus europaeus (European hare), 121 nucleotides long. RefSeq annotates it as small nucleolar RNA SNORA17. The record is from RefSeq and is a predicted model, not a curated record. NCBI's taxonomy places the organism in Eukaryota, Metazoa, Chordata, Mammalia, Lagomorpha, Leporidae. The transcript has a single exon.
GCUGUACCUGAAGCUCUGGCUGCUGCUGUGUCGCAGAGUGGGGGUGCAGAGCGGCGAGGGGCUAGGUAUCCUUCCUGUGCCUGCUCACUGGGCCACCAGGGAGAAAGGAUAGGCCCACAGC